This 1068-nucleotide small RNA is filed under the name Arabidopsis thaliana (thale cress). RNAcentral's name for it is "ATSL082960". The stretch from base 675 to 786 matches the Rfam family "MIR2933 microRNA precursor family". The record is from RNAcentral. Lineage: Eukaryota; Viridiplantae; Streptophyta; Magnoliopsida; Brassicales; Brassicaceae.
UACUUAUGUUUUAAAAACGAUUGUAAACUACGCAAACAGUUAUGCAAAUGCCUUGUAAAUCAUUCUACGACAGUUAAUUAAGCUUUAAAAACGAUUGUAAAACUUUAUUACCUGUUGUGAGAUAGAACUCUCUCAAGGAGAAACGGAUAGGUUGAGAAUCAACUCUAAACCAAAGAGUUGAUCCUUUUGUUUUCACUCUCUGCUGCAUGAGAUAAUGUAAGAUUUUUCCAGAAAAUCUGAUUCCCUUCUUAGCCUUCAUUUUUGGUUCCAAUUCAACUAAAGGACCAAGAAACGAACUUCUAAUCUUCUGAAAUAAACACUCGCCUAAAGCUUCCUCUACUUUACUAACUAAAUUCCAAUCCGAGUAUUGUUGAACGGUUCCCAGUGCAAUAGAUUCCUCACCUUCUCUGUAGAUUUGUUCAGGCAAUGUAAGGAUUUCACUCUCUGAAUCCAUCUGCAAAACAUGUUAUGAAACAGCGUCAGAUCUACUAUAAAAUCGACUAUAAAAUCGACUAUAAAAUCGACUAUAAAAUCGAUUAUAAAAACGGUUACCGUCGGAUCUAUCGAUAUCUCUGGGGAUUGUUUGCGUCGUAGAGAAAUGAUCUGAAUCCUUCAGCGAAGAACAGGUUUAUCGGAGAGGAAAUUCGUCGGCGAUUUUGGGGUUUCUCAGAAAGAAAAUUCGUCGGCGAUUUUGAGUGAAAUCGGAGAGGAAAUUCGUUGGCGAUUUUGAGUGAAAUUGGAGAGGAAAUUCGUCGGCGAUUUUGAGUGAAAUCGGAGAGGAAAAUCGGAGAGGAAAACGAAGAAGUUUGUGCCAAAACGAAGAAGUUUGUGAAACGAACGUGAAACCUAAUCAUUCAGAGGGUAAGACAGUCAUUUGGCAUAUAAGAAGGGGUAGUUUUAAAAAUGGCCUUCAGGAAAGGGCAUUUUUACAAAAGGUUAUUAGAAUAAGGGCAGUUUUGUAAAUCUCCCUUAAUUUUUUCAUGUGCAACAAAUUCUACAAGUGUAUCCCAGACAUAGCCUUGUUCUUCCUCUUGCGACGUUUUUCUCUGGUUGAUGGAAACCAUGUUU